GUCUAAGGCCAUGCCACCCUGAACGCACCCAAUUUCGUCUCAUCUCGGAAGUUAAGCAGGGUUGGGCCCGGUUAGUACUUGGAUGGGA
RNAcentral lists this ribosomal RNA (88 nucleotides) under Ailuropoda melanoleuca (giant panda). Lineage: Eukaryota; Metazoa; Chordata; Mammalia; Carnivora; Ursidae. The record is from RNAcentral.